AAAAAAAUAUCAAAACACGAACAAACAUCUACCAUAUGAUUAGGUUGACUGCGUUGUACACCAAGCAACUACUCACACAAAACCAGAAUCUUUUCACAACUGUCACCUAACACAAGCAAAAGACUAAGCUUUGAAUCAACCUAUACCACAAGUGUCACUUAACACAAGCAAAAGACUAAGCUUUGAAUCAACCUAUACAUAACAACAUCACAAAGUUCGGUCUUAUAAAUCACUAUCCCUUCCUUAAACUCCACUGUCGUAAAAGAUUCUCGCAUAAAAUUAAGUUACCACC
This 292-nucleotide long non-coding RNA is filed under the name Brassica napus (rape). Its description in RNAcentral is "long non-coding RNA (BNAP_LNC022525)". The record is from RNAcentral. Lineage: Eukaryota; Viridiplantae; Streptophyta; Magnoliopsida; Brassicales; Brassicaceae.